This 24-nucleotide non-coding RNA is filed under the name Cricetulus griseus (Chinese hamster). The record is from RNAcentral. Lineage: Eukaryota; Metazoa; Chordata; Mammalia; Rodentia; Cricetidae.
AUUAGAUAUGUAGGUAGACAGAGA